Molecule: small nucleolar RNA, 87 nt
Organism: Hibiscus syriacus
Lineage: Eukaryota; Viridiplantae; Streptophyta; Magnoliopsida; Malvales; Malvaceae
Product: small nucleolar RNA snoR114
Exons: 1
Source: RefSeq, a predicted model, not a curated record
AAGCAAUGACGACAUCUGCGCUCGAGUGAAAUCAGGGUUCUUCAAAUUCGUCUGAUUUCAAGACGACAAUUAAGCGCUGCCGAGUUU